GAAAAUUAGCUCUUUGAGAGUUUCUCCAGUAGGUUUCCUGAAAAGAGAAACCCUC
Oncorhynchus mykiss (rainbow trout) is the source of this 55-nucleotide small nuclear RNA. Its record names the gene U7. It matches the Rfam family "U7 small nuclear RNA". From Rfam's summary of the family: Animal histone pre-mRNAs are spliced by a different mechanism than nuclear pre-mRNAs and self-splicing introns. The record is from Ensembl. NCBI's taxonomy places the organism in Eukaryota, Metazoa, Chordata, Actinopteri, Salmoniformes, Salmonidae.